RNAcentral lists this microRNA (23 nucleotides) under Rattus norvegicus (Norway rat). Its description in RNAcentral is "rno-miR-6315". The record is from miRBase by way of RNAcentral. Lineage: Eukaryota; Metazoa; Chordata; Mammalia; Rodentia; Muridae.
UCUGGACAGGACAGGCCCUGAGC